UGUGAGCGUAUACCAAAGUUGUUGCAGUUAAAACGCUCGUAGUCGGAAUUUGGCAGUUCCGGAUGUGUGCACGUCGUGUGCGCACUUCGCGGGGAUUGCUUUUGUGGUCUUGCGUAGGAUGAGGCACUUUUAUUAGUGAACGUCCUCAAGCAACCACUUUUUACUGUGAGAAAAUCAGAGUGCUCAAAGCAGGCAUUUGCCGUGAAUGUAUUAGCAUGGAAUAAUAGAAUAGGACUUGGUUCUAUUUUGUUGGUUUGUUGGGACUGAGUAAUGAUUAAGAGGGACAGUUGGGGGCAUUUGUAUUUCGGUGCUAGAGGUGAAAUUCUUAGAUUACCGAAAGACAAACUGCUGCGAAAGCGUCUGCCAAGGAUGUUUUCAUUGA
Molecule: ribosomal RNA, 382 nt
Filed under: uncultured eukaryote
Lineage: Eukaryota
Description: partial 18S ribosomal RNA
Rfam family: Eukaryotic small subunit ribosomal RNA
Source: RNAcentral